This 1014-nucleotide ribosomal RNA is filed under the name Metabacillus litoralis. RNAcentral's name for it is "bacterial SSU rRNA". It matches the Rfam family "Bacterial small subunit ribosomal RNA", at positions 369 to 1375 of the family's 1533-position model. Lineage: Bacteria; Bacillati; Bacillota; Bacilli; Caryophanales; Bacillaceae. The record is from RNAcentral.
CAAUGGACGAAAGUCUGACGGAGCAACGCCGCGUGAGUGAUGAAGGUUUUCGGAUCGUAAAACUCUGUUGUCGGGGAAGAACAAGUAUGAUAGUAACUGAUCGUACCUUGACGGUACCCGACCAGAAAGCCACGGCUAACUACGUGCCAGCAGCCCGCGGUAAUACGUAGGUGGCAAGCGUUGUCCGGAAUUAUUGGGCGUAAAGCGCUCGCAGGCGGUUCUUUAAGUCUGAUGUGAAAUCUUGCGGCUCAACCGUAAACGUGCAUUGGAAACUGGAGGACUUGAGUGCAGAAGAGGAGAGUGGAAUUCCACGUGUAGCGGUGAAAUGCGUAGAGAUGUGGAGGAACACCAGUGGCGAAGGCGACUCUCUGGUCUGUAACUGACGCUGAGGAGCGAAAGCGUGGGGAGCGAACAGGAUUAGAUACCCUGGUAGUCCACGCCGUAAACGAUGAGUGCUAGGUGUUAGGGGGUUUCCGCCCCUUAGUGCUGAAGUUAACGCAUUAAGCACUCCGCCUGGGGAGUACGGCCGCAAGGCUGAAACUCAAAAGAAUUGACGGGGACCCGCACAAGCGGUGGAGCAUGUGGUUUAAUUCGAAGCAACGCGAAGAACCUUACCAGGUCUUGACAUCCUUUGAACCCUCUGGAGACAGAGCUUUCCCUUCGGGGACAAAGUGACAGGUGGUGCAUGGUUGUCGUCAGCUCGUGUCGUGAGAUGUUGGGUUAAGUCCCGCAACGAGCGCAACCCUUGAUCUUAGUUGCCAGCAUUUAGUUGGGCACUCUAAGGUGACUGCCGGUGACAAACCGGAGGAAGGUGGGGAUGACGUCAAAUCAUCAUGCCCCUUAUGACCUGGGCUACACACGUGCUACAAUGGACGGAACAAAGGGAAGCAAGCCCGCGAGGUCAAGCAAAUCCCAUAAAACCGUUCUCAGUUCGGAUUGUAGGCUGCAACUCGCCUACAUGAAGCCGGAAUCGCUAGUAAUCGCGGAUCAGCAUGCCGCGGUGAAUACGUUCCC